GUCUUUUUGAAAUAAUUUAAAGUCUAAUCUGCCCACUGAUAUGAAUUAAAGGGCUGCAGUAUAAUGACUGUACAAAGGUAGCAUAAUCAAUAGUUUUUUAAUUGAAAACUUGUAUGAAAGAUUUGAUGAAAUAUAAACUGUCUCUAAUUUAUAAAUUGAAUUUUAUUUUUUAGUAAAAAAGCUAAAAUAAAUUUAAAAGACGAGAAGACCCUAUAGAGUUUUAUAUUUAAUUUUAUUUAAAAAUUAUAUAAAAAUUAAUAUUUAAAAUAAAAUUAAAUAUUAUAUUGGGGUGAUAGAAAAAUUAAAUUAACUUUUUUUAAAGAUUAAACAUAAAUAAAUGAUUAAAUGAUCCAUAAAUAAUGAUUAUAAGAAAAAAUUACCUUAGGGAUAACAGCGUAAUAUUUUUUUUUAGCUCAAAUAAAAAAAAAAGUUUGCGACCUCGAUGUUGGAUUAAGAUAAAAUUUAAAUGCAAAAGUUUAAAAGUUUUGAUCUGUUCGAUCAUUAAAAUCUUACA
Molecule: ribosomal RNA, 514 nt
Filed under: Melanargia russiae (Esper's marbled white)
Lineage: Eukaryota; Metazoa; Arthropoda; Insecta; Lepidoptera; Nymphalidae
Also listed under: 1 other name
Description: partial 16S ribosomal RNA
Rfam family: Archaeal large subunit ribosomal RNA (bases 387-514)
Source: RNAcentral